GACGAACGCUGGCGGCGUGCUUAACACAUGCAAGUCGAACGGAAAGGCCUCAGCUUGCUGGGGUACUCGAGUGGCGAACGGGUGAGUAACACGUGGGUGAUCUGCCUUGCACUCUGGGAUAAGCUCAGGAAACUGGGUCUAAUACCGGAUAUGAACUGCCGCUAGUGUGGUGGUGGGAAAGAUUUUCCGGUGCAAGAUGGGCUCGCGCGCUUUCAGAUUGUUGGUGGGGUAAUGGCCUACCAAGGCGUCGGCGGGUAGACGGGCUGUGAGGGGGUACGGGCACAUUUGGACUGGGAUUCGGGCCAGACUCCUACGGGGGGCAGGAGGGGGGAAUAUUGCACAAUGGGCGGGAGCCUGAUGCAGCGACGCCGCGGGGGGGAUGACGGCCUUCGGGUUGUAAACUCCUUUCGGCAUGGACGAAGGUGUUUGUGACGGUACCUGUAUAAGAAGCACCGGCUAACUACGUG
RNAcentral lists this ribosomal RNA (467 nucleotides) under uncultured bacterium. Its description in RNAcentral is "partial 16S ribosomal RNA". It matches the Rfam family "Bacterial small subunit ribosomal RNA", at positions 28 to 507 of the family's 1533-position model. The record is from RNAcentral.